AUUGCUGGCGACCGGCGCACGGGUGAGUAACACGUAUCCAACCUGCCGAUAACUCGGGGAUAGCCUUUCGAAAGAAAGAUUAAUACCCGGUGGUAUAAUCAGACCGCAUGGUCUUGUUAUUAAAGAAUUUCGGUUAUCGAUGGGGAUGCGUUCCAUUAGGCAGUUGGUGAGGUAACGGCUCACCAAACCUUCGAUGGAUAGGGGUUCUGAGAGGAAGGUCCCCCACAUUGGAACUGAGACACGGUCCAA
RNAcentral lists this ribosomal RNA (249 nucleotides) under uncultured bacterium. RNAcentral's name for it is "partial 16S ribosomal RNA". It matches the Rfam family "Bacterial small subunit ribosomal RNA", at positions 84 to 334 of the family's 1533-position model. The record is from RNAcentral.